AUUGAACGCUGGCGGCAGGCCUAACACAUGCAAGUCGAGCGAGCGGCGGACGGGUGAGUAAUAUAUGGGGAUCUGCCCGAUAGAGGGGGAUUAAUUCUGGAAACCGUAGCUAAUACCCCAUACUAUUGUCUCUACCCUGAUGGGCUUAGCUAGUGGGGGAGGUAAUGGCUCACCUAGGCGACGAUCCCUAGCUGGGCUGAGAGGAUGAGCAGCCACACUGGGACUGAGACACGGUCCAGACUCCUACGGGAGGCAGCAGUGGGGAAUAUUGCACAAUGGGCGCAAGCCUGAUACAGCCAUGCCGCGUGUAUGAAGAAGGCCCUAGGGUUGUAAAGUACUUUCAGUAGGGAGGCGUUAAAGAAAGAAGAAGCACCGGCUAACUCCGUGCCAGCCGCCGCGGUAAUAG
This 406-nucleotide ribosomal RNA is filed under the name uncultured bacterium. Its description in RNAcentral is "partial 16S ribosomal RNA". It matches the Rfam family "Bacterial small subunit ribosomal RNA", at positions 30 to 526 of the family's 1533-position model. The record is from RNAcentral.